RNAcentral lists this ribosomal RNA (354 nucleotides) under uncultured bacterium. Its description in RNAcentral is "bacterial SSU rRNA". It matches the Rfam family "Bacterial small subunit ribosomal RNA", at positions 8 to 350 of the family's 1533-position model. The record is from RNAcentral.
AGAGUUUGAUCAUGGCUCAGGAUGAACGCUAGCUACAGGCUUAACACAUGCAAGUCGAGGGGAAACGACAUCGAAAGCUUGCUUUUGAUGGGCGUCGACCGGCGCACGGGUGAGUAACGCGUAUCCAACCUGCCCAUCACUUGGGGAUAACCUUGCGAAAGUAAGACUAAUACCCAAUGACGUCUCUAGAAGACAUCUGAAAGAGAUUAAAGAUUUAUCGGUGAUGGAUGGGGAUGCGUCUGAUUAGCUUGUUCGGCGGGGUAACGGCCACCAAGGCGACGAUCAGUAGGGGUUCUGAGAGGAAGGUCCCCCCANAUUGGAACUAAGACACGGUCCAAACUCCUACGGGAGGCA